Molecule: transfer RNA, 57 nt
Filed under: Henricia pachyderma
Lineage: Eukaryota; Metazoa; Echinodermata; Asteroidea; Spinulosida; Echinasteridae
Description: tRNA-Lys
Source: RNAcentral
AAAGGAAGCAUCAAACUCUUAAUUUGAAACAAAGUGGAACUCCGCCACUAUCAAGGA